UAGUGGCGAACGGGUGAGUAACACGUGGGCAAUCUGCCCUUCACUCUGGGACAAGCCCUGGAAACGGGGUCUAAUACCGGAUAACACUCUGUCCCGCAUGGGACGGGGUUGAAAGCUCCGGCGGUGAAGGAUGAGCCCGCGGCCUAUCAGCUUGUUGGUGGGGUGAUGGCCUACCAAGGCGACGACGGGUAGCCGGCCUGAGAGGGCGACCGGCCACACUGGGACUGAGACACGGCCCAGACUCCUACGGGAGGCAGCAGUGGGGAAUAUUGCACAAUGGGCGAAAGCCUGAUGCAGCGACGCCGCGUGAGGGAUGACGGCCUUCGGGUUGUAAACCUCUUUCAGCAGGGAAGAAGCGAGAGUGACGGUACCUGCAGAAGAAGCGCCGGCUAACUACGUGCCAGCAGCCGCGGUAAUACGUAGGGCGCAAGCGUUGUCCGGAAUUAUUGGGCGUAAAGAGCUCGUAGGCGGCUUGUUGCGUCGGUUGUGAAAGCCCGGGGCUUAACCCCGGGUCUGCAGUCGAUACGGNCAGGCUAGAGUGUGGUAGGGGAGAUCGGAAUUCCU
Molecule: ribosomal RNA, 564 nt
Filed under: Streptomyces sp. 340E06
Lineage: Bacteria; Bacillati; Actinomycetota; Actinomycetes; Kitasatosporales; Streptomycetaceae
Description: bacterial SSU rRNA
Rfam family: Bacterial small subunit ribosomal RNA
Source: RNAcentral